GCAAUUAAAUCGUAAAUUUUUACAACUACAAAUUUACAGUUAUUAAAAACAUAAUUUGUUGUUGCUGCCUGCUAUUAUUAAUUACUACAACAGUUUGGUGUCACGCUUAAAAACAACGGGCCACGUUGGCGGCUUUUGCUGCAUUUGUGUUAACCAACUUCAUAUGGUGAAACUGUAAAACGCCUUCGGCCUUACCGGCUUUACUCCACCACUACCGCCAACUCCAUCUUCAUCUCAAGCUCUGAUUGAUGCCGUCCAUAACAGCGACAACAACAACAACAAUAAUAACCCAUUUGGCUUGAUUUAUUUUUAGCUUAUUUAUUUGUUAUUUGCUUUGAUGAAGCGACCAAACGGCGAUGGCAGAUGAUGAAGCAUGUUGAAGUGCAUUUGAAAAUCGUUUAAAUUUCUUGGCUAAGACCCAAACAUUUUGAAUGUUAAUCAAUUAAGUCGAUUUGUUUGGCCCGUGUUCGGUAUUUAGGCCUAAUAAGCAGCUAUGCGGAACUGCAAGCUUGCCCAAAUUUUUUCGCUAGUAGACUAAUUACUUUGGCACUCAGUCAACAGAGCGCACUUACUUCAUUGAGCCACUCGGCUUGCUUUCAUCUCGCUGGCAUCCAAUGCCAGCCAAAUCCAGUCAACUGCCAAACUCAUGGAUGUGGAUGUGGAUGUGGAUAUGGAUGUGGCAGUCGCUGUGGGUCACCGACAAAAGCCACCCGGUCAACCUACUUUGGCAGCACGCCACUGAGCCACUAGCCAAGCUGCGCCACUGAGCCAGGCCACGGCCACAAAAGGUGAUGAUGAGGUUGAUUACUUGGACUUGCAUUGGCGACUUUCCUUCUAAUUUGAGCUGUACAAAUAAUCAAAAUUUUUGGCGCGCGCUUUGUAGCAUUUAAUUUGGUUUCCAGCACGUUUCGGCUUUAAUUGAAACCGAUUUUCGGACUCCAUUUGUGGCCACGGAGUGAGUGCGAGUGCACUUUACUGGGUGUCAAAUUGGGCGCACGUUUUUGGACCAACUUUCACCCGAUCCGAAGGCGUUGGCUAGGGCAGCAGUUGCUGCCCAUUUGAUUGGCUCAUUUCCCAGGAUUACAGCAACAAAUUCCCUAAAUGCGGUGUUCUUUCCCCUAUAUCGCGAUCUGAAUGGCUUAAAUAUAUACAUAUGAAUUUGUUAAAAAAUCUAACCGAACCCGAACCCGAAUCCGAACCCGAAAAACCGGCGUUAAAUCAUCUAAAAGUUGCACACGCGCCAACAUCAAUACCGAGGCUGUCAGCACUUGACCCAAUGCCCAGACAAUAGCUUUAAUUUCGAGCUGUCCAAUUGUUUUUUGCUUUUUUUUUUUUGUUUUCAGCUUGAACCGCGUUGCGGG
Drosophila hydei is the source of this 1361-nucleotide long non-coding RNA. RefSeq lists it as uncharacterized. The transcript has 3 exons. The record is from RefSeq and is a predicted model, not a curated record. Lineage: Eukaryota; Metazoa; Arthropoda; Insecta; Diptera; Drosophilidae.